RNAcentral lists this ribosomal RNA (483 nucleotides) under uncultured bacterium. Its description in RNAcentral is "partial 16S ribosomal RNA". It matches the Rfam family "Bacterial small subunit ribosomal RNA", at positions 28 to 507 of the family's 1533-position model. The record is from RNAcentral.
AUUGAACGCUGGCGGCAUGCUUUACACAUGCAAGUCGAACGGCAGCGCGGGCUUCGGCCUGGCGGCGAGUGGCGAACGGGUGAGUAAUGCAUCGGAACGUGCCCAGUAGUGGGGGAUAGCCCGGCGAAAGCCGGAUUAAUACCGCAUACGACCUGAGGGUGAAAGCGGGGGACCGAAAGGCCUCGCGCGAUUUGCGCGGCCGAUGUGGAUUAGCUAGUUGGUGGGGUAAAGGCUUACCAAGGCGACGAUCCGUAGCUGGUCUGAGAGGACGACCAGCCACACUGGGACUGAGACACGGCCCAGACUCCUACGGGAGGCAGCAGUGGGGAAUUUUGGACAAUGGGGGCAACCCUGAUCCAGCCAUGCCGCGUGCGGGAAGAAGGCCUUCGGGUUGUAAACCGCUUUUGUUCGGGAAGAAAUCCUCUGGGCUAAUACCCCGGGGGGAUGACGGUACCGGAAGAAUAAGCACCGGCUAACUACGUG